This 911-nucleotide ribosomal RNA is filed under the name uncultured marine archaeon DCM871. RNAcentral describes it as "bacterial SSU rRNA". It matches the Rfam family "Archaeal small subunit ribosomal RNA", at positions 1 to 922 of the family's 1478-position model. The record is from RNAcentral.
UUCCGGUUGAUCCUGCCGGACCUGACUGCUAUCGGAUUGAUACUAAGCCAUGUUAGUCAUUGUAGUAAUACAAGGCAGACGGCUCAGUAACGCGUAGUCAACCUAACCUAUGGAUGGGGAUAACUUCGGGAAACUGAGGAUAAUACCCAAUAGGUCAUUAUACCUGGAAUGGUUUAUGAUCGAAAUGAAUUUCGCCGUAGGAUGGGACUGCGAGCUAUCAGCUUGUUGGUGAGGUAAUGGCCCACCAAGGCGAUUACAGCUACGGGCUCUGAGAGGAGUAGCCCGGAGAUGGGUACUGAGACAAGGACCCAGGCCCUAUGGGGCGCAGCUAGGCGAGAAAACUUUGCAAUGUACGAAAGUUCGACAAGGUUAAUCCGAGUGGUUUCUGCUAAAGGAACCUUUUGCUAGUUGUAAACUCUAACGAAUAAGGGGUGGGCAAGUUCUGGUGUCAGCCGCCGCGGUAAAACCAGCACCUCAAGUGGUCAGGAUGAUUAUUGGGCCUAAGCAUCCGUAGCCUGUUUUGUAAGUCUCCGGUUAAAUCCAUCAACUCAAGUGAUGGGCUGUCGGAGAUCUGCAAAACUAGGGAAUGGGAGAGGUAGACGGUACUCGGUAGGAAGGGGUAAAAUCCUUUGAUCUUAUUGAUGACCACCUGUGGCGAAGGCGGUCUACCAGAACAUGUUCGACGGUGAGGGAUGAAAGCUGGGGGAGCAAACCGGAUUAGAUACCCGGGUAGUCCCAGCUGUAAACGAUGCAGACUCGGUGAUGCGUUGGCUUGUUGCUAGCGCAGUGCCGCAGGGAAGCCGUUAAGUUUGCCGCCUGGAAAGUACGUACGCAAGUAUGAAACUUAAAGGAAUUGGCGGGGGAGCACCACAAGGGGUGAAGCUUGCGGUUCAAUUGGAUUCAACGCCGGG